GACGAACGCUGGCGGCGUGCUUAACACAUGCAAGUCGAACGGAAGGGCCCUGCUUUUGUGGGUUGCUCGAGGGGCGAACGGGUGAGUACCACGUGAGUAACCUGCCCUUGACUUUGGGUUACCUUCAGGAAACUGGGCCUAAUACCGGAUAGGAGCUCCUGCUGCAUGGUGGGGGUGGGAAAGUUUCGGCGGUUGGGGAUGGACUCGCGGCUUAUCAGCUUGUUGGUGGGGUAGUGGCUUACCAAGGCUUUGACGGGUAGCCGGCCUGAGAGGGUGACCGGCCACAUUGGGACUGAGAUACGGCCCAGACUCCUACGGGAGGCAGCAGUGGGGAAUAUUGCACAAUGGGCGGAAGCCUGAUGCAGCAACGCCGCGUGCGGGAUGACGGCCUUCGGGUUGUAAACCGCUUUCGCCUGUGACGAAGCGUGAGUGACGGUAAUGGGUAAAGAAGCACCGGCUAACUACGUG
This 468-nucleotide ribosomal RNA is filed under the name uncultured bacterium. RNAcentral's name for it is "partial 16S ribosomal RNA". It matches the Rfam family "Bacterial small subunit ribosomal RNA", at positions 28 to 507 of the family's 1533-position model. The record is from RNAcentral.